This 1176-nucleotide ribosomal RNA is filed under the name Salmonella enterica. RNAcentral's name for it is "partial 23S ribosomal RNA". It matches the Rfam family "Bacterial large subunit ribosomal RNA", at positions 1131 to 2290 of the family's 2925-position model. The record is from RNAcentral. Lineage: Bacteria; Pseudomonadati; Pseudomonadota; Gammaproteobacteria; Enterobacterales; Enterobacteriaceae. RNAcentral also lists the same sequence under 1 other name.
AGCGUAAUAGCUCACUGGUCGAGUCGGCCUGCGCGGAAGAUGUAACGGGGCUAAACCAUGCACCGAAGCUGCGGCAGCGACACUGUGUGUUGUUGGGUAGGGGAGCGUUCUGUAAGCCUGUGAAGGUGUGUCGUGAGGCAUGCUGGAGGUAUCAGAAGUGCGAAUGCUGACAUAAGUAACGAUAAAGCGGGUGAAAAGCCCGCUCGCCGGAAGACCAAGGGUUCCUGUCCAACGUUAAUCGGGGCAGGGUGAGUCGACCCCUAAGGCGAGGCCGAAAGGCGUAGUCGAUGGGAAACGGGUUAAUAUUCCCGUACUUGGUGUUACUGCGAAGGGGGGACGGAGAAGGCUAUGUUGGCCGGGCGACGGUUGUCCCGGUUUAAGCGUGUAGGUGUGUGUUCCAGGUAAAUCCGGUUCACUUUAACACUGAGGCGUGACGACGAGGCACUACGGUGCUGAAGCAACAAAUGCCCUGCUUCCAGGAAAAGCCUCUAAGCAUCAGGUAACAUCAAAUCGUACCCCAAACCGACACAGGUGGUCAGGUAGAGAAUACCAAGGCGCUUGAGAGAACUCGGGUGAAGGAACUAGGCAAAAUGGUGCCGUAACUUCGGGAGAAGGCACGCUGACACGUAGGUGAAGUGAUUUACUCAUGGAGCUGAAGUCAGUCGAAGAUACCAGCUGGCUGCAACUGUUUAUUAAAAACACAGCACUGUGCAAACACGAAAGUGGACGUAUACGGUGUGACGCCUGCCCGGUGCCGGAAGGUUAAUUGAUGGGGUCAGCGCAAGCGAAGCUCCUGAUCGAAGCCCCGGUAAACGGCGGCCGUAACUAUAACGGUCCUAAGGUAGCGAAAUUCCUUGUCGGGUAAGUUCCGACCUGCACGAAUGGCGUAAUGAUGGCCAGGCUGUCUCCACCCGAGACUCAGUGAAAUUGAACUCGCUGUGAAGAUGCAGUGUACCCGCGGCAAGACGGAAAGACCCCGUGAACCUUUACUAUAGCUUGACACUGAACAUUGAGCCUUGAUGUGUAGGAUAGGUGGGAGGCUUUGAAGUGUGGACGCCAGUCUGCAUGGAGCCGACCUUGAAAUACCACCCUUUAAUGUUUGAUGUUCUAACGUGGACCCGUUACCCGGGUUGCGGACAGUGUCUGGUGGGUAGUUUGACUGGGGCGGUCUCCUCC